RNAcentral lists this ribosomal RNA (350 nucleotides) under Epipodisma pedemontana pedemontana. Its description in RNAcentral is "partial 12S ribosomal RNA". Lineage: Eukaryota; Metazoa; Arthropoda; Insecta; Orthoptera; Acrididae. The record is from RNAcentral.
UAAGUGUUAAUUAUGUUUACCAGGGUAGUAUUAGUUAUAAUCUUUAAACCCAAAGAAUUUGGCGGUAUCUUAUUCCAUUCAGAGGAACCUAUCCCAUAAUUGAUAAUACACGAUUAACUUUACUUAAUUUAUUUGUUUGUAUAUCUCCGUUAUCAGAAAAUCUUUUUAGAGUUUAAAUUUUCUUAAUUUAUAAUUGUAAAAUAUUUCAGGUCAAGGUGCAGCUUAUAAUUAAGAGGAGAUGGGUUACAAUAAAUUUUUUUUAUAACGGAUUUAUUAUUGAAAUAUUAUUAAUGAAGGUGGAUUUGAUAGUAAUUUAACAUAUUUAAUUUAAUUGAUAUUGGCUCUGAGGU